UACGGAGGAUGCGAGCGUUAUCCGGAUUUAUUGGGUUUAAAGGGUGCGUAGGCGGGCUGUUAAGUCAGCGGUAAAAGCCCGGGGCUCAACCCCGCCGAGCCGUCGGAACUGGGGGCCUUGAGUGCGGCGGAGGCAUGCGGAAUGCGCGGUGUAGCGGUGAAAUGCAUAGAUAUCACGCAGAACUCCGAUUGCGAAGGCAGCAUACCGGCGCUCAACUGACGCUGAGGCACGAAAGCGUGGGGAUCGAACAGG
This 252-nucleotide ribosomal RNA is filed under the name uncultured Bacteroidales bacterium. Its description in RNAcentral is "partial 16S ribosomal RNA". It matches the Rfam family "Bacterial small subunit ribosomal RNA", at positions 524 to 776 of the family's 1533-position model. Lineage: Bacteria; Pseudomonadati; Bacteroidota; Bacteroidia; Bacteroidales. The record is from RNAcentral.